GGGUUGUGAGGUUAAGCGACUAAGCGUACACGGUGGAUGCCCUGGCAGUCAGAGGCGAUGAAGGACGUGCUAAUCUGCGAUAAGCGUCGGUAAGGUGAUAUGAACCGUUAUAACCGGCGAUUUCCGAAUGGGGAAACCCAGUGUGUUUCGACACACUAUCAUUAACUGAAUCCAUAGGUUAAUGAGGCGAACCGGGGGAACUGAAACAUCUAAGUACCCCGAGGAAAAGAAAUCAACCGAGAUUCCCCCAGUAGCGGCGAGCGAACGGGGAGCAGCCCAGAGCCUGAAUCAGUGUGUGUGUUAGUGGAAGCGUCUGGAAAGGCGCGCGAUACAGGGUGACAGCCCCGUACACAAAAAUGCACAUACUGUGAGCUCGAUGAGUAGGGCGGGACACGUGGUAUCCUGUCUGAAUAUGGGGGGACCAUCCUCCAAGGCUAAAUACUCCUGACUGACCGAUAGUGAACCAGUACCGUGAGGGAAAGGCGAAAAGAACCCCGGCGAGGGGAGUGAAAAAGAACCUGAAACCGUGUACGUACAAGCAGUGGGAGCACGCUUCGGCGUGUGACUGCGUACCUUUUGUAUAAUGGGUCAGCGACUUAUAUUCUGUAGCAAGGUUAACCGAAUAGGGGAGCCGAAGGGAAACCGAGUCUUAACUGGGCGUUAAGUUGCAGGGUAUAGACCCGAAACCCGGUGAUCUAGCCAUGGGCAGGUUGAAGGUUGGGUAACACUAACUGGAGGACCGAACCGACUAAUGUUGAAAAAUUAGCGGAUGACUUGUGGCUGGGGGUGAAAGGCCAAUCAAACCGGGAGAUAGCUGGUUCUCCCCGAAAGCUAUUUAGGUAGCGCCUCGUGAAUUCAUCUCCGGGGGUAGAGCACUGUUUCGGCAAGGGGGUCAUCCCGACUUACCAACCCGAUGCAAACUGCGAAUACCGGAGAAUGUUAUCACGGGAGACACACGGCGGGUGCUAACGUCCGUCGUGAAGAGGGAAACAACCCAGACCGCCAGCUAAGGUCCCAAAGUCAUGGUUAAGUGGGAAACGAUGUGGGAAGGCCCAGACAGCCAGGAUGUUGGCUUAGAAGCAGCCAUCAUUUAAAGAAAGCGUAAUAGCUCACUGGUCGAGUCGGCCUGCGCGGAAGAUGUAACGGGGCUAAACCAUGCACCGAAGCUGCGGCAGCGACACUAUGUGUUGUUGGGUAGGGGAGCG
This 1205-nucleotide ribosomal RNA is filed under the name Escherichia coli. RNAcentral's name for it is "partial 23S ribosomal RNA". It matches the Rfam family "Bacterial large subunit ribosomal RNA", at positions 1 to 1238 of the family's 2925-position model. The record is from RNAcentral. Lineage: Bacteria; Pseudomonadati; Pseudomonadota; Gammaproteobacteria; Enterobacterales; Enterobacteriaceae.